RNAcentral lists this small RNA (28 nucleotides) under Bombyx mori (domestic silkworm). RNAcentral's name for it is "ovarian small RNA-27974". Lineage: Eukaryota; Metazoa; Arthropoda; Insecta; Lepidoptera; Bombycidae. The record is from RNAcentral.
UCCUGUCACCGCAAAGCGUAUCCGCUGG